This is a long non-coding RNA of Homo sapiens (human), 725 nucleotides long. Ensembl annotates it as MSRB3 antisense RNA 1. Its record names the gene MSRB3-AS1. The record is from Ensembl. NCBI's taxonomy places the organism in Eukaryota, Metazoa, Chordata, Mammalia, Primates, Hominidae.
CCUACUCAAGAUGGAGUCGCUCUGGUUUGAACGCCUCUGACACUUCCACUCUCAAGGAAUGGUGUUUUUAUUCUCUUCUCCCCAGAAUGUACUUCUGGUCUGUCCCGCUGUUCCAUUCCACAGCAUUUUAGGAGGUUCUCAAGAGUGUCCUAAACAAGCAGAGAAGAAUGGUGAGACUUACCCAUUCCUAGUUUAAGAAAUGAGUGAAAUGGGGUCUGAGUUAUAUCACAGCUACAGUUUAGACUCCUGUGGUACAGUUGGCUUUCCCAGGCUCCCGGCGUCCAUGCUGUCUCGGCGCUAUCUCGCAGCCUGACGCCACGCGCCAUCUGCUGGCCUUGAGCUGCAUAGCUCUAGAGUAACUUCAGAGGCCACGGGGGAACAAAGAGCACUCGCCUACUUGACUGAGCUCCGACAGGCCGUCCCUCUGCUUCAGGUGUAGGCGUGAACAAGUCCAGACCACUACCUUAACAGUAACAAGUACUUGACACAUGUCCUUGGUCUAGAAAGGAUGGAGGAGCCACAGACAGCUGAGGUGCAGGCUCCAGCUCAAUGGCCUGUCAUUACAAGAGGCUCUUGGAGUUUCUGAUCUUCUUCGCCUCUCUCUAUGCCCAACCCUGUCUAGAGUGCACCUCAGCAUGAUUUUAGAAAACAGCAUGGAGAAAGAGAAGUUGAGGCCAGUCUUUCUCCUCCGAUCACCAAGUAUCUAUUAAAAGCCAUUCCCUCCA